UUCGCCCUUAGAGUUUGAUCCUGGCUCAGGGUGAACGCUGGCGGCGCGCCUUACGCAUGCAAGUCGUGCGGGGCGCGGGCUUCGGCCUGCGCUCAGCGGCAGACGGCUGAGUAACACGUAGGUAACCUGCCCGGAAGUGGGGGAUAACUCGGGGAAACCCGGGCUAAUACCGCAUGUGGUCCCAGGGGGAAGUUCCCUGGGACUAAAGCCCGCAAGGGCGCUUCCGGAGGGGCCCGCGGCCUAUCAGGUAGUUGGUGGGGUAACGGCCCACCAAGCCGACGACGGGUAGCCGGUGUGAGAGCACGACCGGCCAGAGGGGGACUGGGACACGGCCCCCACUCCUACGGGAGGCAGCAGCGAGGAAUCUUGGGCAAUGGGGGAAACCCUGACCCAGCGACGCCGCGUGGGGGAAGAAGGCCUUCGGGUCGUAAACCCCUUUUGCCGGGGAAGAAGCCCUGACGGUACCCGGCG
RNAcentral lists this ribosomal RNA (471 nucleotides) under uncultured bacterium. RNAcentral's name for it is "bacterial SSU rRNA". It matches the Rfam family "Bacterial small subunit ribosomal RNA", at positions 1 to 484 of the family's 1533-position model. The record is from RNAcentral.